CGCGUAGGCGGGCGGGCAAGUCGGAGGUGAAAGCCCCCAGCUCAACUGGGGAAGUGCCCUCGAUACUGCCGGCCUGGAGGGAGGUAGGGGCGUGCGGAACUUCCGGUGGAGCGGUGAAAUGCGUAGAUAUCGGAAGGAACACCGGUGGCGAAGGCGGCACGCUGGGCCUUUCCUGACGCUGAGGCGCGAAAGCCAGGGGAGCGAACG
This 207-nucleotide ribosomal RNA is filed under the name uncultured bacterium. RNAcentral describes it as "partial 16S ribosomal RNA". It matches the Rfam family "Bacterial small subunit ribosomal RNA", at positions 568 to 774 of the family's 1533-position model. The record is from RNAcentral.